GAGUACUUUUUAUGUAGUUAGGUGUGGCUUUGAAGAUUGCUGACAUUAGUUAUUCUGCCGCAGGAGGAAUAUAAGGCUACCACUUCUACAAGGACAGGGGGGAUAGAAGUUGCGACGUCAGGUGGUGGUAAAUACGUGCGCUGCCACCUUCUGCCUGGCAUCUGGGCUGAAGAAGUCGCCACUGCAAAUUUCUCCAGAGCAACGAAGCGACGCUAUCAGCCAGAGGAUUACGUUGGUAACUUUCAUGGUUGGGGGAACGAAAGGCACCAGCACCAACCAGCUUUGAUAUUCUGCUUACAAGAUCUCUCCUUUUACAAGAUGGCGGGGACGACUUGAUGCAGCCGGCCAGUGCGGCAGCAGCAAAGCGAUGCUGUUCUUUGCUACGGCAAGACUGCUUCGCUGCCUUUUCUCUGGCACUGCUCCUCCCCCGUGGGUGAUUAGUAAGUUAGUAACAUGUUGCAGUCGAGCACCUCGCUUUCUUUCUCAUAUUUUUCUCCUGUUCAUGCAGGUUUUCCUGUAUCCAAGUCUAGAUUCCUCUUUGCUCGAUCGAGUUUUACAGCCAGAUUACUUUCCACUCGACUACUUCGAUCCAACUUAAAAGCUCAAUGAAAGACAUAGACCUUCCAAAUUGCUUCUCAGGACUUUUUCACGACCAGAUUGUCUUUGCUCCAAGUUUUAGCACUGUGGCCAAACUAUAAACUUUGCGGAGGCGGUGCGAUCUUUAAAGCCAUGGCACAGAAAUUUAUACGCGAAACGAUUGCUUGCUUGGAGAGUAGCCGCGCGCCGUCGACUUAUAAAUGGGUGGAACAUGGUGGCGGCUGACUGGCGUUGACUUGGAGCGAGUUCUUCGUCGAAUUUUUUUUUUUUCCUUUUCUUUGGUGUCGUUGAGCGUGUCAAAUUGACUGACCAACGCGCAAUGCAAGCAGGAGGUCAAUGGAAAGAUUUAGAGUUCAUCAAUGCCAAGCAUUAAGAUUUAAAUAUCA
Molecule: long non-coding RNA, 983 nt
Organism: Selaginella moellendorffii
Lineage: Eukaryota; Viridiplantae; Streptophyta; Lycopodiopsida; Selaginellales; Selaginellaceae
Exons: 5
Source: RefSeq, a predicted model, not a curated record